This 1427-nucleotide long non-coding RNA is filed under the name Arachis ipaensis. Its description in RNAcentral is "long non-coding RNA (AIPA_LNC001555)". The record is from RNAcentral. Lineage: Eukaryota; Viridiplantae; Streptophyta; Magnoliopsida; Fabales; Fabaceae.
CGGGGAAGAAGGGAAGGUGAUGAGCGGAUAAUUUAUACGCUUUUUGGCAUUGUUUUUAGUAUGUUUUUGGUAGGAUCUAGUUACUUUUAGGGAUGUUUUUAUUAGUUUUUAUGUUAAAUUCACAUUUCUGGACUUUACUAUGAGUUUGUGUGUUUUCCUGUGAUUUCAAGUAUUUUCUGGCUGAAAUUGAGGGACUUGAGCAAAAAUCAAAUUCAGAGGUAGAAGAAGGACUGCUGAUGCUGUUGGAUUCUGACCUCCCUGCACUCAAAGUGGAUUUUCUGGAGCUACAGAACUCAAAAUGGCGCGCUUCUAAUUGCGUUGAAAAGUAGACAUCCAGGGCUUUCCAUCAAUAUACAAUAGUCCAUACUUUGGCCGAGUUUAGAUGACGCAAAAGGGCGUUGAACGCCAGUUCUACGCUGCAGUCUGGAGUUAAACGCCAGAAACACGUCACGAACCAGAGUUGAAUGCUAAAAACACGUUACAACUUGGCGUUCAACUUCAGAAGAAGCCUCUGCACGUGUAAACUUCAAGCUCAGCCCAAGCACACACCAAGUGGGCCCCGGAAGUGGAUUUAUGCAUCAAUUACUUACUUCUGUAAACCCUAGUAACUAGUUUAGUAUAAAUAGGACUUUUUACUAUUGUAUUAGACAUCUUAUGAUUUUUAGUUCAUCUUUGAAUCAUAUUGAUCACGUUUGGGGGCUGGCCUCUCGGCCAUGCCUGAACCUUCAUCACUUAUGUAUUUUCAACGGUAGAGUUUCUACACUCCAUAGAUUAAGGUGUGGAGCUCUGCUGUUCCUCAUGAUUUAAUGCAAAGUACUACUGUUUUUUAUUCAAUUCAACUUAUUCUGUUUCUAAGAUAUUCAUUCAUACUCCAACAUGAAUGUGAUGAACGUGACAAUCAUCAUCAUUCCCCCACGAACGCGUGCCUGACAACCACUUCUGUUCCACCAUAGCUUGCUUCAUACCGACAAUCUCCGUGGGAUCGACCCUUACUCACGUAAGGUUUUAUUACUUGGACGACCCAAUGCACUUGCUAGUUAGUUGUAUCGAAGUUGUGACAAAUCAUAAAUUAAGAUUAGAUCACCAAGUUUUUGGAGCCAUUACCAGGGAUCAUAAUUUCGUGCACCAGAAGGAAAGGGAGAAGACUGCGCUGGCGCAUUGCCUCCGUCACCACCAUUGAAGGCUCCAACGCCGCCGCUGCUACCACAGUCGCCAUCAUCUGUUGCAUGUGCGAGAGGAGAGAGAGAGCAAACAAGAUAGAGGGAACGGGAAGAGACACGAUAAGGAGGGGAAGGAGGAGACCGUUCCUGCUGCCGCCGGACUGUCGUCACCGCCACUGCUAGGGUUUGACUCCGUCAUGUCCUGCUGCCACCAGAGUUAGCCUCUAUUAGAGCUGUUGUUCUGCCAUCGUCAAACUUGAAAGAGGA